Molecule: regulatory RNA element, 114 nt
Organism: Tatumella morbirosei
Lineage: Bacteria; Pseudomonadati; Pseudomonadota; Gammaproteobacteria; Enterobacterales; Erwiniaceae
Rfam family: Ribosomal S15 leader
About the family: The E. coli Ribosomal S15 gene 5' UTR can form two alternative structures. One that is a series of three hairpins, The other includes a pseudoknot.
Source: Rfam
GUGGGGAGCUGAAUUAGAGAUCGGCAACCUGAAAUCAAACAUAUACUGGAGUUUAUUAUGUCUCUAAGCGUAGAAGCUAAAGCAGAGAUCGUUGCUAAAUACGGUCGUGGUACC